UCAGUGGCCGAGUGGAUAAUACGAUGGCGUUUGAAGCGAAAGGUACUGGGUUCGAGUCCCAGAGUGA
Molecule: transfer RNA, 67 nt
Filed under: Schistosoma mansoni
Lineage: Eukaryota; Metazoa; Platyhelminthes; Trematoda; Strigeidida; Schistosomatidae
Source: RNAcentral